RNAcentral lists this long non-coding RNA (725 nucleotides) under Mytilus galloprovincialis (Mediterranean mussel). Lineage: Eukaryota; Metazoa; Mollusca; Bivalvia; Mytilida; Mytilidae. The record is from RNAcentral.
AAAAUAGAACUGAAAAAUAUUUCAUAUUCUGACUGAAUAGUUUACUCUUUUCAUGAAGUAAGGUUUUCUUUGUUAUAGUUUCAUUGCAAUACAUGAAUAUGCAAACAAUUUGAAUUAUAUACCUUUGUGGUGUACAUAAUAUUAUGCUUAUCUUUGCAAAUUUAUAAUUUAAACACUUUUUGUGUUAAAGUUUUAGUUUUCUUUUUCGCUGCUUGCUAUGUACAAUUAUUCAGUCCACUAUAUAAGAGUCAAGUCAAUAAAUUAUUUCAUCCACUAGAAUAUUCCCGCAAUUCUUAGACAAAACAUUUUUCAAUCUGUUCUUCAAAGAUCUUCCUCCGUACAUCUUUAUUGGAUGGAGCGAUUCAAAUGAGAAGACAAAGCAGGUUUAUUUGGACAACAACAUACUAAUAUUUUUUUCAUUCGUUCCUUCUUUCAAUUGAUAAUUACAUUGUUGCAUUUACAUGAUCAAGUUCUUGAGCAUCUAUGAUUGUGAUGGUAUGACUCCUUUUUGUUUAUAGUCAUUAUGUUGAAAUUUCCUUUUUCUAUUUAAUGUAGGAAAAAAACGUUCCAUUUCAAAUUAAUAAAAAAAGUUGCACUAUUGAGAAAAAUAUCAUCUUCCAAGUUUUCUGUUCAGUAUUGAUCUGUUGAAUGAUGACCAUGAAAACCGAGAUGUCUGACCUACAAAUACACAAAACUCAAAAAUUAUCAGUGAAGAGAAAUACAGC